GGCGCAUAGCUCAGUUGGCCAGAGCGCCGCCGUCACAUGGCGGAGGUCACAGGUUCAAGUCCUGUUGCGCC
Molecule: transfer RNA, 71 nt
Filed under: Planctomycetota bacterium
Lineage: Bacteria; Pseudomonadati; Planctomycetota
Description: Planctomycetes bacterium tRNA-Val
Rfam family: tRNA
About the family: Transfer RNA (tRNA) molecules are approximately 80 nucleotides in length. Their secondary structure includes four short double-helical elements and three loops (D, anti-codon, and T loops).
Source: RNAcentral